Molecule: long non-coding RNA, 698 nt
Organism: Oncorhynchus masou masou (cherry salmon)
Lineage: Eukaryota; Metazoa; Chordata; Actinopteri; Salmoniformes; Salmonidae
Exons: 3
Source: RefSeq, a predicted model, not a curated record
UUACCACUUGUGCGAACUGUUAAGAGAUAAUGAUAACUUGCUAGUUCAUUGUUGACAUCUAUUUUCGGUGCUUUGUAGAGAUGGACAACCAAGGGUGUCCGAGAUGCAAGACAGCAAAAUACAGGAAUCAGUCCCUGAAACGAAUGGUGAAUGUUUAUGUGAGAGCUGUGUGGACAUGCUUGUGAGAGCUGUGUGGACAUGCUGUUUGUGAGUGGCUCGGGGGAACUGUGUGCAGUGUGGCACGCCCCUGAGGAAGAGUAACUUCCACAUGCAGCUCUUCAAAGACCCAGCCAUCGACAAGGAGGUGGAGAUCCGCAAGAAGGUGCUCAAGAUGUGAUUGAGGGGCACGGGGGAGAAGGUUAGAACGAGAGACUUUGACUUCUCAAGCCUGAGCGAAUACAAUGACUAUUUGGAGCAAAUGGAGGAGAUCGGUGAGAGCAGGCUGUGGACUCGGGAGAUAGAGGGGGGUCUUAGUGCAUUGAUCUGUCUCUGGCCUUGGCUCUGGAUGUUGAAGUUUUACAGGUGUCAGUGCCAGCCAGGGUCAGAGACCCACCAGUCUCUCUCUGCCAAUUCUCAGAGAUCUCUGUCAGAUGGUGUUUGCACUGUGACUAUGGGUUAGCCUAUGGUUUCCUAUGCUUACAUGGUCAGAAACAUGGUUUAUUACUUUUAGAGAAAAACACUACUGGUCAAAAGUUUUA